GGGUUGUGAGGUUAAGCGACUAAGCGUACACGGUGGAUGCCCUGGCAGUCAGAGGCGAUGAAGGGCGUGCUAAUCUGCGAUAAGCGCCGGUAAGGUGAUAUGAACCGUUAUAACCGGCGAUACCCGAAUGGGGAAACCCAGUGUGAUUCGUCACACUAUCAUUAACUGAAUCCAUAGGUUAAUGAGGCGAACCGGGGGAACUGAAACAUCUAAGUACCCCGAGGAAAAGAAAUCAACCGAGAUUCCCCCAGUAGCGGCGAGCGAACGGGGAGGAGCCCAGAGCCUGAAUCAGCAUGUGUGUUAGUGGAAGCGUCUGGAAAGGCGCGCGAUACAGGGUGACAGCCCCGUACACAAAAGCGCAUGUGCUGUGAGCUCGAUGAGUAGGGCGGGACACGUGGUAUCCUGUCUGAAUAUGGGGGGACCAUCCUCCAAGGCUAAAUACUCCUGACUGACCGAUAGUGAACCAGUACCGUGAGGGAAAGGCGAAAAGAACCCCGGCGAGGGGAGUGAAAAAGAACCUGAAACCGUGUACGUACAAGCAGUGGGAGCCCCACCACUAAGCCAGUGGUGAACUCCACAUCCGCAUCCUUUGCUGAGGAUACGGUUAACGGAGCGAAAGCGACGUUCAACCGCAAAACAAGCAGAGGGGGCUUAGUGGUGGGGUGACUGCGUACCUUUUGUAUAAUGGGUCAGCGACUUAUAUUCUGUAGCAAGGUUAACCGAAUAGGGGAGCCGGAGGGAAACCGAGUCUUAAUUGGGCGUUAAGUUGCAGGGUAUAGACCCGAAACCCGGUGAUCUAGCCAUGGGCAGGUUGAAGGUUGGGUAACACUAACUGGAGGACCGAACCGACUAAUGUUGAAAAAUUAGCGGAUGACCUGUGGCUGGGGGUGAAAGGCCAAUCAAACCGGGGAGAUAGCUGGUUCUCCCCGAAAGCUAUUUAGGUAGCGCCUCGUGAAUUCAUCUCCGGGGGUAGAGCACUGUUUCGGCUAGGGGCCAUCCCGGCUUACCAACCCGAUGCAAACUGCGAAUACCGGAGAAUGUUAUCACGGGAGACACACGGCGGGUGCUAACGUCCGUCGUGAAGAGGGAAACAACCCAGACCGCCAGCUAAGGUCCCAAAGUCAUGGUUAAGUGGGAAACGAUGUGGGAAGGCCCAGACAGCCAGGAUGUUGGCUUAGAAGCAGCCAUCAUUUAAAAGAAAGCGUAAUAGCUCACUGGUCGAGUCGGCCUGCGCGGAAGAUGUAACGGGGCUAAACCAUGCACCGAAGCUGCGGCAGCGAACGUAUCACUUAAAGCGAUUCAGCGGGUUACGAUUGACGGAGCGAAGCGACGUCAAAGCGUAUACAAAGUCGAGUCGGUUUAAGGAUACGUUCGUUGGGUAGGGGAGCGUUCUGUAAGCCCGUGAAGGUGGCCUGUGAGGGUUGCUGGAGGUAUCAGAAGUGCGAAUGCUGACAUAAGUAACGAUAAAGCGGGUGAAAAGCCCGCUCGCCGGAAGACCAAGGGUUCCUGUCCAACGUUAAUCGGGGCAGGGUGAGUCGACCCCUAAGGCGAGGCCGAAAGGCGUAGUCGAUGGGAAACGGGUUAAUAUUCCCGUACUUGGUGUUACUGCGAAGGGGGGACGGAGAAGGCUAUGUUGGCCGGGCGACGGUUGUCCCGGUUUAAGCGUGUAGGUGUGUGUUCCAGGUAAAUCCGGUUCACUUUAACACUGAGGCGUGAUGACGAGGCACUACGGUGCUGAAGCAACAAAUGCCCUGCUUCCAGGAAAAGCCUCUAAGCAUCAGGUAACAUCAAAUCGUACCCCAAACCGACACAGGUGGUCAGGUAGAGAAUACCAAGGCGCUUGAGAGAACUCGGGUGAAGGAACUAGGCAAAAUGGUGCCGUAACUUCGGGAGAAGGCACGCUGACACGUAGGUGAAGUGAUUUACUCACGGAGCUGAAGUCAGUCGAAGAUACCAGCUGGCUGCAACUGUUUAUUAAAAACACAGCACUGUGCAAACACGAAAGUGGACGUAUACGGUGUGACGCCUGCCCGGUGCCGGAAGGUUAAUUGAUGGGGUCAGCGCAAGCGAAGCUCCUGAUCGAAGCCCCGGUAAACGGCGGCCGUAACUAUAACGGUCCUAAGGUAGCGAAAUUCCUUGUCGGGUAAGUUCCGACCUGCACGAAUGGCGUAAUGAUGGCCAGGCUGUCUCCACCCGAGACUCAGUGAAAUUGAACUCGCUGUGAAGAUGCAGUGUACCCGCGGCAAGACGGAAAGACCCCGUGAACCUUUACUAUAGCUUGACACUGAACAUUGAGCCUUGAUGUGUAGGAUAGGUGGGAGGCUUUGAAGUGUGGACGCCAGUCUGCAUGGAGCCGACCUUGAAAUACCACCCUUUAAUGUUUGAUGUUCUAACGUGGACCCGUAAUCCGGGUUGCGGACAGUGUCUGGUGGGUAGUUUGACUGGGGCGGUCUCCUCCUAAAGAGUAACGGAGGAGCACGAAGGUUGGCUAAUCCUGGUCGGACAUCAGGAGGUUAGUGCAAUGGCAUAAGCCAGCUUGACUGCGAGCGUGACGGCGCGAGCAGGUGCGAAAGCAGGUCAUAGUGAUCCGGUGGUUCUGAAUGGAAGGGCCAUCGCUCAACGGAUAAAAGGUACUCCGGGGAUAACAGGCUGAUACCGCCCAAGAGUUCAUAUCGACGGCGGUGUUUGGCACCUCGAUGUCGGCUCAUCACAUCCUGGGGCUGAAGUAGGUCCCAAGGGUAUGGCUGUUCGCCAUUUAAAGUGGUACGCGAGCUGGGUUUAGAACGUCGUGAGACAGUUCGGUCCCUAUCUGCCGUGGGCGCUGGAGAACUGAGGGGGGCUGCUCCUAGUACGAGAGGACCGGAGUGGACGCAUCACUGGUGUUCGGGUUGUCAUGCCAAUGGCACUGCCCGGUAGCUAAAUGCGGAAGAGAUAAGUGCUGAAAGCAUCUAAGCACGAAACUUGCCCCGAGAUGAGUUCUCCCUGAGACUUAGAGUCUCCUGAAGGAACGUUGAAGACGACGACGUUGAUAGGCCGGGUGUGUAAGCGCAGCGAUGCGUUGAGCUAACCGGUACUAAUGAACCGUGAGGCUUAACCUUACAACGCCGAAG
Molecule: ribosomal RNA, 3110 nt
Filed under: Salmonella enterica subsp. enterica serovar 1,4,[5],12:i:-
Lineage: Bacteria; Pseudomonadati; Pseudomonadota; Gammaproteobacteria; Enterobacterales; Enterobacteriaceae
Description: 23S ribosomal RNA
Rfam family: Bacterial large subunit ribosomal RNA
Source: RNAcentral